UAGGAAAAAAUUCAAUUUUGCAAUGGAGGGGCUUUAGUAAUGGAGCUAACAGAUAAGAGGUUAAUAGGAAAACUGGGCACAUGCAAAACUGAAGCAAGAUUUAUAAUAGAAGUGCAUUCAAAAGAACCUGCUCCAGAGACAUUGUCUAAGGAUCUGUCUGCUAUGUAGACUUUUUUUUUCCUGAACAUAGGGAAUAGGUUGUAAAUU
This 207-nucleotide unclassified non-coding RNA is filed under the name Hevea brasiliensis (rubber tree). The record is from RNAcentral. Lineage: Eukaryota; Viridiplantae; Streptophyta; Magnoliopsida; Malpighiales; Euphorbiaceae.